AGUGGCAAGAAGUUUGCUGAGAUUCCAGAGGAAGUGAUCCGAGGAGCAGUUACUUCAAAAGUGAAUACAAUAGACUUGAGCAAGAAUUUGUUGACACAGCUACCUCAUGGGAUGGUUGAACUAAGUGGAUCUCUUUCUGAUCUCAACAUGGGAUUCAACAGACUGGCCACUUUGUCUGACGAUGUGUCAUGUUUUGUAAAACUUCAGUUUCUUGACUUGAGAAACAACCAACUAAGAGAC
This is a long non-coding RNA of Actinia tenebrosa (Australian red waratah sea anemone), 240 nucleotides long. NCBI's taxonomy places the organism in Eukaryota, Metazoa, Cnidaria, Anthozoa, Actiniaria, Actiniidae. The record is from RefSeq and is a predicted model, not a curated record.